AGCACAACAGCGCCUCUUUCCACCUUCCUCUGUCACCUUCUUUAUUUUCAAAAACCUCCGAGCUUUGACAUCUUUCAAUCAAAAGAUGCUGCACCAUUUUGGUGCAAAUAACGUCUCUUUCUUUCCUCUUCCACAUUUGUGCUUGGUGACCCGUGAAUCUUUAAGGUCUCAGUCAAAAUCAUGACAUUUCGGACAAGAAGUUGAACCAAUUCACGUGAGCACCCAGCUCGUCUCAAUGUUCGGAUUCAAACGGGCUAUGACUCGAUUUUGAAUCCCUAAUUUUGAAAUCCUGCUCAAAAACUCGAACCCUAGCUCUACAUCUCUUAUAAAUACUUGCAUUUGGGAGAGUUUAGAAUAGGAAGGGGCCGCCACCUCUAUUUCCCUUCCAAUAGGCUUCAGUCGCCCUCUUUACUGAAAUUUAUUGUUUACUGCUGUUUCUAACUUCAAUUUAUUGUUCUUGCUCACUCCUCAUCUCUCAAUAAUAAGUUUAGAAAUACAAGUCCUAAAUCACGUUCUAUUUAUUUCCUCAUCCUUGAGGAUCUCUGUCGUCUUUCUUCUUGGUCGUAGCAGAUAUUCUCUUACUGUUCUGGUCGAAUCAUUUAUUCGUAAAAGAGGCUUGAGUCGGAGAUUCGAAUAGCCAUUGCAAAACGCCCUAGUUUACUGCCCGCAAAAAGAAUGUUACAGACAAAUUUUUGAGGAGUGGAAGGUUGCAAUGGUUCGGGUAAAAAGAAAAGGAUUCGCAAGAACGCAACGGCUCUAAAGAACACAAGGAAAGAAAGAAAAUCAUCUAAGCACAUCAAAGGGAGCCAACAACUAUGAUAUUCAAACUCUAUUAGUAUACCUGGAAGAAAAGAGAAUCAAUCAAGCAAGCAAGAGAUUCUCAAGCAUACAAGGGAGGAAAGAGAAUCAAUCAAACAAGCAAAGGACUCUCGAGCAUACAAGGAACGAAAGAGAAUCAAUUAAGAAAAUCAGCGAAAGUAUUUAAGAGAAGUUAAUUGGAUAGAUGAAGGAGCGAAACUACAAACUAAGAAUGAAUCUGGUUAUACGACACAAGCUAGAUUCAUGAGGCUACCCUUGGUUCCUACGGUUAGAAGAUUAUUCUUCACAAGGAAAAGUCCUACAAUCCAUGAUCUUCCACAAUCUUAGAAAAAGAGGAAUUAGAAGCUUCAUCGAGUAUUGAGGUUUUAAGUAUAUUAAAUGCUUAAAAGAGGGUGAAUGGGAAAUGGAGGAAAAUGAAAUUUUAAGCUCCCUCCUGAUGAAGGAACAUUGUCCUAUAUUGGAAGAGGAAAAUGUUUUUAAUGGUUUAUAAGCAAUUGCUCUUCUUCUAGCUCUUAAAGAAUUGAGAAGAAGGCAAACCUCGCGCCGUCAUCGCUCGCUUGGCUUCGGCUUCAGAUUGGGAUUGGAAUUGGGAUUUGAUUUGGAUUUGGUCAAAUGAUCGAUUGAUUGAUUAAUUUUUUGGACCA
Long non-coding RNA from Nicotiana tabacum (common tobacco), 1463 nucleotides. RefSeq lists it as uncharacterized. The record is from RefSeq and is a predicted model, not a curated record. NCBI's taxonomy places the organism in Eukaryota, Viridiplantae, Streptophyta, Magnoliopsida, Solanales, Solanaceae.